UUGUUGGUCCUCCUUGAAAUAUUGACACUUCCCUUAAGAGUACAUUCUUUCAGAGGGAAAGCAUCCUAGAUGCAACCAUUUAACCUGUUAGCAUCCUUGACUGUGUGAGACCUUCACAAACAGAACAGGAGCUGUUUGCCUCCCUGGCAGGAUGCUGAUGUUCACUCUUCAGUGCUAGUACACAAUAAACAAUGAAGGGAGAAUCCACAUGCAUUGCUGUGCAGAAAUCAGUUCAGUGACAUGGCUCUUCCUCUCCCUUCUUCUGUGAAGGUGAGAGUUUGAGGCACAAGGUUCUUCUCCAGGAGCAUCUUCACUAAAGCUCCAAUUCUUCUUUCCUCAUCUGUUCAGCCCUUCUGCGUGCUCUGUGAAAUGGUCAGUGACAUGGAGGGUGUUCAGAAGCCUGAUAAUGUUGAUGCUUUUGCCUUCAUGAACCUCAUGGGGAAGAGGCAAGUGGAUAUUUGCCCUGCAAUGGCAGAAAGGGGGCUCUGGCAAGGUCUAUUCCAUACAGAGAUCUUUGGAGACAGCACUGGGAGCCAGACCAGGGAUAGAAUCUAAGGGCACAAUUUUUCUUGCAAUGGAAAGUGGAUCCUAAAAGGAGCAGCAGAAGUGAAGAGGCAGAAAUUAUGCGACCACCUUCAGUGUGGAGAUCCAGUCCCCCCAGAGUGAUGGUGUCUGCAACAGAGGGUGAUUUUCUCUCAGAAAUUCUUGAGAGAUUUUGCAGCAGUUUCAGUGAGAGUUAUCUGCCAGAUUGUAAGGUUUAUUUUACACUAUAGAGUUCAUCUGAGAAAUGAAAAAUAACACAGAUUUGCUUUCAGUUCAUUUUUCCCAUUUCAUCCUCUUCUCAGCCAAGCAUGAACCUCAACCUCUCUUUGUUUCUCACAAAAGGGUUGGAGCUGGUUUCCAGCAAUUAUUCUGAAGCAAAGCAGAUCAGCAUAGCAAAGUUAAAGCAAUAAAAAUAACAGUACAGACAGGAAAAAUAUUGCAUGAUGGAUUUUGAUCUCCUGUGCUUCAGCAUUAAUCACAGUAUUGAUUUUAACAGGAAUGACUUCUCAGCAUACUGACUGUAGUUGCUUUUUGUUCUUUUUAUUUUACUGCAGCUGAUUAGUAUCUGUCCUUCUGUGUCCAGUGUGGAACCAUCCUCUGGAGAGAGUGCUUUCAGAAAUACUUUUAUUUUUUUCUCAGUAAAAUAAUUACUUGAAGAGAUAAGAUGACUCAGCUGGAGUUAUUAGGGCUGGUGUUCUGUUUGGAUUAUUUGAUUAUUACAGUAAAUUAAAAAAAAAAAAAAAAAAACUGAUUUUGUUAAGAGGCCUGUUGCACUGCGUGCCCAUAAACUGUAGUUGUGUUUUGUUCAAACCAUUUUGAAAAAAACAUUUGCAGCAAAAUAUUGGGUUGUGGUACAUGUACUCCAGAACAGUGAGAAAACUGCAUGAGAAAAACAAUGUACUAACAGGUCUGAAGGUAGAACUAAGACCUGGAGUUGAUGAACUGAAUAAGUAAUUCUGUGUAAUUAGCACAUGCCACUGUAAGAUUAAUUGAGUUAUUCUAUUUUACUGGACGUUUAAUUUAUAUUUCUAUGGAGUAAAUUAAAUCUUCUACUAUCAACA
Long non-coding RNA from Oxyura jamaicensis (ruddy duck), 1604 nucleotides. RefSeq lists it as uncharacterized. The transcript is spliced from 3 exons. Lineage: Eukaryota; Metazoa; Chordata; Aves; Anseriformes; Anatidae. The record is from RefSeq and is a predicted model, not a curated record.